GAAAUGCGAUAAGUAAUGUGAAUUGCAGAAUUCAGUGAAUCAUCGAAUCUUUGAACGCACAUUGCGCCCGCCAGUAUUCUGGCGGGCAUGCCUGUCCGAGCGUCAUUUCAACCAUCAAGCCCCCGGGCUUGUGUUGGGGACCUGCGGCUGCCCGCAGGCCCUGAAAACCAGUGGCGGGCUCGCUGUCACACCGAGUGUAGUAGCAAUCACCUCGCUCAGGGCGUGCUGCGGGUUCCGGCCGUUAAACAGCCUUACAAAACCCAAGGUUGACCUCGGAUCAGGUAGGAAGACCCGCUGAACUUAAGC
This 306-nucleotide unclassified non-coding RNA is filed under the name plant metagenome. RNAcentral describes it as "partial contains 5.8S ribosomal RNA, internal transcribed spacer 2, and large subunit ribosomal RNA". The stretch from base 1 to 105 matches the Rfam family "5.8S ribosomal RNA", at positions 50 to 154 of the family's 154-position model. The record is from RNAcentral.